RNAcentral lists this transfer RNA (20 nucleotides) under Dendragapus obscurus (blue grouse). RNAcentral's name for it is "partial tRNA-Met". The record is from RNAcentral. Lineage: Eukaryota; Metazoa; Chordata; Aves; Galliformes; Phasianidae.
UCCAACUCCUUCCCCUACUA